This 4032-nucleotide long non-coding RNA is filed under the name Homo sapiens (human). RNAcentral's name for it is "HSALNT0379414". The record is from RNAcentral. Lineage: Eukaryota; Metazoa; Chordata; Mammalia; Primates; Hominidae.
GCACCUGUAGUCCCAGCUACUCGGGAGGCUGAGGCAGGAGAAUCAUUUGAACCCAGGAGGCGGAGGUUACAGUGAGCCGAGAUCGUGCCAUUGCACUCCAGACUGGGGGACAAGAGCAAGACUUCGUCUCAAAAAAAAAAAAAAAAAAGGACUCAGUGGCAUAAAGCCAUGGCAGGAUUCUAAGGACUGACAUGGUCUCUGCAUUGUAGCGGGUGCACUCUGCUGGUCUGUUGAGAAUUAACUCUUUGAGACCAGAGUAGGGUCAGAGAGCCCUUGGAGGGUGGAGGGCUACAGAGAUAACCCAGAGAUGAGGGUGGCUUGGACCACAGUGGCAGCAGUGCAGAGAGGGAAAAGGAGUUUGGGUUUUGAAGGUAUUCCAAAGGUAGAAUUGGAUGGGUGCCAGUUCCAGAUCACCAUCCGUAGGCUCGCUGUCCUGGAAACCUUUCUUCCUCUUCAUGAAGGCACCUUCCCUUCACUUUUGCUUCAAGUUUCCAUUCCACAGAGGGACAGAAACUCAAUCUCAGUCCAUCCAGGAUCCCAUCCUUCAGUUCUGGGGGUUGUGGCAGCCAAGUCAUGGGUGGUGUGGGUGGGGAAUCUGGUCCCCUGUCACCUUGUCCAUCUCCACUGGCAUCUGCAGAGGCCAUCUCACUCCAGGAUGGUCCACAUGGGGCACAGCGUGUCCCACUCCACAUCUAGCUUCCCUUCAGCUGCCUCCACACCCUGCUGCCUUGUAACUGCCAGGUGGUCUCAGGCCUCCUUCCCAAGCAGCCCCCAGCAGCUUUCUUGCUGUUCUCACUGAGCUGGACACCUCUCAGGAGCAAGAAGGAGCUAUGCCCUUUGCUCCCAGAACCCCAAACCACCCUCAGUGUCUCUAUCAUCUUUGUCCAGUCCAGGGCAGCAGUCCCUGUUCAAGCACCUCACCUUCCUGCCUGUCCUCUGAUUUCUCCCAUCCCUGACCCCACCCUGGUCUGUGGAAUAUUCCCAGAGAAACUCUGGCUCUGAUGUGUGCACUUCCCUCCACACCAUCCCCGGCUCAGCUCUCAGCUCCGAGGCUGCCCCACAAGGUUAUGCAGGUGUUUAGUGAGCCAGUGGGGGUGAAAUUGGCACAUUGCUUGUCCAGGCUUGGGCCUGCAUACAAAGAGGUGGAGAGGCGCCUUUUCCUCAUUUCCACAAAGGCAUCUCUGAGCCACCAUGGGCCUUGUGUGCUCACAAGCCUCUGGAAGGUCAAAAGCAAGGAGUUGGCUCUUGCUCUUCUGUGUCCUGUUGUAAUAGUCCCCACUAAGAGCAAUGGCAAGCUCCGGCCUAGCUGCCUGAAUGAGGGGAGGUUUAGAGGGGAAAUUACACUGGUUCAUAAAGAAAAUAGUAACCCCUUGCUUUGCUGGGAAGUCCCUCUGAAAGGGAAGGAAUGAUGGACCUUACCCCAGCACCCAUGACCUGGGCCCCAAGAAGCUCACCAGUGACAAUUUUGACUUUCUUUGUUAAAUAGACAUUACUACAUAAUUUUUUUUUUUUUUUUUUUUUUUUUUUUUUUGAGACGGAGUCUCGCUCUGUCACCCAGGCUGGAGUGCAGUGGUGCGAUCUCGGCUCACUGCAAGCUCCGCCUCCCGGGUUCACGCCAUUCUCCUGCCUCAGCCUCCCGAGUAGCUGAGAUUACAGGUGCGUGCCACCACACCUGGCUAAUUUUUGUAUUUUUAUUAGAGACGGGGUUUUGCCGUGUUGGCCAGGCUGGUCUCGAACUCCUGACCUCAGGUGAUCCACCCGCCUCGGCCUUCCAAAGUGCUGGGAUUACAGGCGUGAGCCACCACGCCCGGCCUAUAGUCAUGAUUUUAUUUAUUUAUUUAUUUUGAGACACAGUCUCCCUCUGUUGCCCAGGCUGGAGUGCAGUGGUGUGACCUCAGCUCAUCGCAGUGCCCCCUGGGUUCAAGCGAUUCUUGUGCCUCAGCCUCCCAAGUAGCUGGGAUUACAGGCAUGCACCACCACACUCAGCUAAUUUUUGUGUUUUUAGUAGAGAUGGGGUUUCGCUAUGUUGGCUAGACUGGUCUUGAACUCCUGUCAUCAAGUGAUCCGCCUGCCUAUAAUUUUUUUUAAGUGAUGGGGUCCUGUUCUCUCACCCAGGCUUGAGUACAGUGGCAUGAAUAUGGCUCACUGCAUCCUUGACCUCCUGGGCUCAAGCGAUCCUCCUGCCUUGGCCCAGGAGUUGCUCGCAUGAGCCACCACGCCCAGUGUAUUCAGAUUUUCUUCGUGUUUCUUUUCUCUUCCGGGAUCCCAUGCAGGACACCACGUCGCAUUUAGUUGUCCACCACGGUUUUUUUGUUUGUUUGUUUUUUUCCGAGACGGAGUCUCGCUCUGUCACCCAGGCUGGAGUGCAGUGGUGUGAUCUCAGCUCACUGCAGCCUCCGCCUACCGGGUUCACGCCAUUCUCCUGCCUCAGCCUCCCGAGUAGCUGGGACUACAGGCGCCUGCCCCCACGCCCGGCUAAUUUUUUGUAUUUUUAGUAGAGACGGGGUUUCACCGCGUUAGCCAGGAUGGUCCCGAUCUCCUGACAUUGUGAUCCACCCGCCUCGGCCUCCCAAAGUGCUGGGAUUACGGGCAUGAGCCACCGCGCCUGGCCCACCACAGUUUUAAUUCUGAAGAUGCAGUAUUAAGAGAGGAGGCUAAAGAAGCACACACUUGCUUAAUUUUUCCUUCGUUAUAUGCUGGGGAUGGCAGCAGCAGCUUGUGGCUGAGUUUCGGUGUUCUGCCUGACGGGUGACAGCUGAGCAGGCACUAGGUCCUUGCAAAACGCAGGAUGCUGGGGAGGGUCUUCACCUUGCAUGGUGUCCUGUCCCACACUGCUCCUCAGGUUGGGAGUGGUGGGGAGUUACUGUUUAAUGUGUACAGAAUUUCUCUUUGGGAUGACAAAAAUGUCUGGAAAUGGAUGGUGGUGAUGGUCGUAGAGCUUUACAGAUUUACUUAAUGCCACUGAAUUAUACACUUCAAAUGAUUAAAAUGGUAAAUUUUAUUUAUCUUUUGCCACAAUUUUUUUUAAAACCUCAGUAAAUAAAAUGCAACUUAAGGCUUCUGCUUUUUGCUUUUCAGUAAAGGAAACUAUUUUUUUUUUUAAGUCUGUCCCUUUUAAGCCUUUUACAUUCCUCAAGUAAGGCUUACCCCCAGAAUGGGGGUCAGGGAUCGGUGCCGAUGGGGCUAGAGCACCACCAUCAUUGCUACUGCUAAUGACAAUGGUGAUAGCAACAACAGCCGUGAUUGACUGCUCACUGUGCUAGCAGCUGUACCACAUGGUCCCAUCUGUUCUUCACACAGCCCCAGGGGCAGGUACGCUCAUGGGAACAUAGCACAGGGUAGUUAACGGACUCAUCCAAGGUCAUGCAGCUGGGAGUGGCAGCACCAGGAUCCCUCCAGAACCAGAGCUCUUUCUCACCACCCACGUCAGUGCCAGCAAAGCCUCCCAAACUCCUCCAAAGCCACCUCGAUAACAGGAGAGAGGUGUCCUUCACCAAGCCCGAGAGGGAGACUGCCAGGUGCCUGUGGAAUAAGCCCUCUGGUCCAGAUGAGGACUAGCAAGAGGAAGGGCUGUUUGCCUUCUUUAAAAAGAUUACAAUAAUGACCGGUGUUUAUUAAACACAUACUAUGUUCUACAAUAGCGUUCUCCAGGCUGACGUCACCUAUAGAUCUCUAGCCCCACAGAUGCUCCACUGAAAAAUAGUUUCAUAGCUGGGCACAGUUGUGUGCACCUGCAGUCCCAGUUACUUGGGAGGCUGAGGUGGGAGGAUCACCUGAGCCUGAGAAGUCAAGGCUGCAGUGAGCUGUGAUCACACCACUGCACUCCAGCCUGGGUGGCAAGAGUGAGACCCUGCCUCGUAAAUAAAUAAAUAAAUAAAUAAAUAAAUAAGAAAAAUAGUCUCACAGCCAAGUAAGUUUGGGAAGGGCCUCCUAGAGGAUUUGAAAGGAGCUGCAGUGAUGACACCCCUUCAGCUUUGUCUAACUCAGUGAUUCCCAAAUCUCUUUGGCCCCAGCAGCCCAUUUUCAUUGCAA